UGGCUUUCGCCGAUGAGAGCUUGGAUUCCCUUGACGACUCUUUUCCUCUCGGAGUUGAAGGUUGGAAUGCGCUGUUCGCGGUGGUUGUUGAUGGUGGUUAGUUUUGGGGAUGAAUCUGUGGUGCCUUGGAAAUGGCCAUCUGCAAAGGAGAGGAAGAUGCGGCCAGUUUCAUCAUUUGAUGUUUGCCAGAAUAUAGCAUAGGUCCACCAGUCAGGCUGGCUUUGGAGCAAGAAUUGGAGCUUCUGUUGGAGAGUGGGUGGGAUUUCUUGGGAUGAAGGGACUAGAGAAGAAGAUGAAGAUGGAGAUAUGAUAAGUUCCUCCAUGGCUUCUGAAUUCUGAUUGUGAAUCAGGGCAAGCAAGCG
Molecule: unclassified non-coding RNA, 362 nt
Filed under: Hevea brasiliensis (rubber tree)
Lineage: Eukaryota; Viridiplantae; Streptophyta; Magnoliopsida; Malpighiales; Euphorbiaceae
Source: RNAcentral